Molecule: long non-coding RNA, 213 nt
Filed under: Elaeis guineensis (African oil palm)
Lineage: Eukaryota; Viridiplantae; Streptophyta; Magnoliopsida; Arecales; Arecaceae
Description: long non-coding RNA (EGUI_LNC069121)
Source: RNAcentral
GCCUAAGGGACACUUAUAUCUAUAUCCCAUCAGAAAUAUUUUCGACAGCAGAAUACUCUGGAGUUGGUCACGUUCAAUGAUGAUGUAUCCUUAUAUCUCACCUGUAUGCUAUACCAGAGUCUCCACACUCCUUGGUUAAGAUGACAACCAACCCAUAUGGCCUACAGUGACCUAUGCUUGAUAGAAGCUGUCAUCCUUAUUAACAGCCUAUCA